UGGCCCGAGGAGCGUUGCAGCGCGGCACCCGCCCAUCCGUACACCGGAUCGCGUGCCGCGUCAGGCUUGGGCCAGGUGCAGGUUCCCGGCCGGACCGCGCCCACGGUGCCAACGACGCUCACCUGUU
This 127-nucleotide non-coding RNA is filed under the name Delftia acidovorans. Its description in RNAcentral is "SAH sequence". It matches the Rfam family "SAH (S-adenosyl-L-homocysteine) riboswitch aptamer". Lineage: Bacteria; Pseudomonadati; Pseudomonadota; Betaproteobacteria; Burkholderiales; Comamonadaceae. RNAcentral also lists the same sequence under 1 other name. The record is from RNAcentral.